UUGUUCAUAUUAUACCAAAAGUAGCUAAGUUUCUAUACAUGCCAUACCCAAAACAAAACGUCUAGUUAUACCGAGUUAUUUCUUUGAUAGUGUGAUCGGCCUCCGACGUUUCCUUCGAUCCCCGAGUGACUAGAUAAGUACUGUAAUAAGAAAAAAAUAAAGAGAUUAAGCACUAGGCUUAGUAAGCUUACAAGCAAAUAAAUCACAACAUUCAACAUAAUGGAUAAUUAUGCAUAAUAUCAUCUAACAUCAUAAAUUUAUUUACUUCUCAAUUUCUAUCUUCUUCUUUAUUCCCUUACCUUCUUUCUUACCUGACCUUUCCUUUUUCAUAAGUAUAAUCUACUUUUCCUUUGCUGUUAAUUCACUGUAAUUUAACUCGUAUCCUGACCCGUUGAACCACUCGGAAUACUAAGGAUACCAGGGUCGUUCCUGUCUAUCAAUAUCCUGCCAAUGCCAUAUCUUUGGCAUGGACUUACAUGAAUUAUUCCUGUCUCCAAUGCCAUAUAUAAUAUGGACUUACAUGGCUCAAUCCUGUCUCCAAAGCCAUAUUUCUAAUAUGGACUUACAUGGCUCAUUUCUGUUCUGUCCUGUCAACCCUAAUAUCCUAACAUUCCUAGGGUUCAACCGGGGCUUUCUAACACUUUUCCUCUGUCACUUCACCUUAAAUUCGACUUUAAAUAUUUUCAUAACAUAAUAUAUAAAUGCUGGAAAUUGAAAAUAAUAAUGUAAAAUAAAAGAAUAUUGCAUUUAUUUACUGUAACUUACCUUGAUACAAAAUGUGACUAAACUUUACAAUUUAGUCAUUUACUUUUUCUUUUCCCCGAUCUACUCCCGAAUUUCGUUCUUCUUGAUCUAUAAUAGCAAAUUUAAAUUAUUUAAUAUUCACAUUUAUUAAAACAGUCCUUGACCCAACUUUUGCAAAAUUAUAUUUUUACCCUUAAACUUUCACAUAUUUGCACUUUUGCCCCAAGGCUCGUAAAUUAAACUUCAUCCUAUUUUCUUAUGUUUUAUGACAUGCUGAUCAUUUUUCCCUUCUAUGGCAAUAUCAAAAUCACACUCUAACAUAUACUUAUGACUAUUGGUAUUUUUUUCCAAUUUAAGCCAUUUUACUCGUUUUCACUUAAAACCAAGUAGCAUAAGUUGUUUAACAUAAUUUAAAACCUCAUGUUCUAUCAUAAAACACCAAAAUACACAAAUUUCAGCCAUGGGUAUUUUUCCAAAUAUGAACCCUAGGUUGAAUUAUUGCUAGAAUAAACUUAAUCAAGUUACCGGGACUCCAAAAACGUAAAGAUCAUUAAAAACGGGGCUUGGAAUCACUUACUAUGAAACUUGAAAGUUGAAGAAACCCCAGCUAUGGAGGAGAGCAAAAAUCGCCAGAAACUAAUUGAGAAGAUAACCAUUUUUGUGUUAUUUUUCCCUUUUUAAUUCAUUUAAUAUCCAAAUGACCAAAUUACCCCUCCUUACUAAACUUUCAAAAAUUCCUUCCAUGUCCUAAUUUUUGUCCAUGAACUUAAAAUUGGUCAAAUUGUUAUUUAAACCCUCCUAAUUAAUAUUCCAAAGUAAUUUCAUACUAAAAACUUCUAGAAUGCAAGUUUUGCAAAUUAUUCGAUUUAGUCCCUAACCUCAACUUAAGCACUUUAUGCAUAGAAUUUCAUCACGAAAUUUUCACACAAUCAUGCAAUCAUACCAUGAACCUCAAAAUAAUAAUAAACUAAAUUUUUCUACCUCAAAUUUGUGGUUUCGCAACCACUAUUCCGUUUAGGCCCUAUUUCGGGAUGUUACAUUUCUUCCCCCUUUUAGGGAUUUUCGUCCCGAAAAUCUUACCUGUGAAAAGAUUUGGGUACUGUUUUCGCAUAGCCUCUUCGGGUUCCCAUGUAGCUUUAUCUACCCCGUGUCUAUUCCAUAGUACUUUCACAAGUGCAAUACUUUUAUUCCUUAAUUGUUUACCUCUCGAGCUAGAAUCUUUACCGGUUCUUCACCGUAAGUCAUGUCUGGCUGAAUCUCAACCUCUGUUUGAGAAAUCACAUGUGACGGAUCUGAACGAUAACGACGUAGCAUAGACACAUGAAAUACAUUAUGAAUCUUCUCUAACUCAAUCGGCAAAGCUAACCGAUAUGCUAAUGGUCCGACUCUCUCAAUUACUUCAAACGGUCCAAUAAAACGUGGACUUAGUUUGCCUUUCUUGCCAAAUCUGAGAACUUUCUUCCACGGGGAUACUUUCAAAAAAACUUUGUCACCAACUUGAUAUUCGAUCUCUUUUCUUUUUAAAUCUGCAUACGACUUCUGCCUGUCUGAAGCUGCUUUUAAACAAUUUCUGAUAACUUUCACUUUUUCUUCUGUUUCUUUAACUAAAUCAACCCCGUAAAUCUGGCUUUCUUUAAGCUCUGUCCAAUAUAAAGGUGUACGACAUUUACGUCCAUACAAAGCUUCAUAAGGUGUCAUCUUCAAACUUGACUGGUAACUAUUAUUAUAGGCAAACUCUACCAAUGGUAAGUAUUUUUCCCAACUACCUUGAAAUUCUAAUACACAACAUCUAAGCAUAUCUUCAAGUACCUGAAUAACUCUCUCUGACUGACCGUCGGUUUGAGGAUGGAAAGCUGUACUAAAACUCAACUUUGUGCCCAAAGCCUCUUGUAAUUUCUUUAAAAACCUUGAAGUAAAUCUUGGAUCUUUGUCUGAAAUGAUCGAUAAUGGUACCCCAUGUAGCCUGACUAUCUCUGAAAUAUACAACUCGGCCAACUUGUCAAGUGAAUAACCCAUAGGAACUGGGAUAAAAUAAGCCGACUUCGUUAACUUAUCAAUCACAACCCAUACUGCAUCUUUCUUUCUCGGUGUAAACGGUAAUCCUGUCACAAAAUCCAUAGUAACUCGAUCCCAUUUCCAUUUCGGAACUAGCAUAGGCUGCAAUAAUCCUGAGGGUACCUGAUGUUCGGCCUUUACCUGUUGACAGAUCAAGCAUCUAGAAAUAAACUUUGAAAUAUCUCUUUUCAUUCCUACCCACCAAUACAAUUUCUUCAAAUCAUUAUACAUUUUUGUACUGCCUGGAUGAAUAGAUAAAGGACUGCUAUGUGCUUCCUGUAAAAUCUUCCGAAUAAGCUCAUCAUUCUUUGGUACAUAUAUUCUGUCUCUAAACAUCAAACAAUCAUCAGAACCAAUCCAGAAAUCUGAUUCUAUGCCUGACUCACAUUGAACUCUUUUAGCUUGUAACUCAUUAUCAUCUUUCUGAGCUUCACAAAUCUCUUCAAGAAAUACCGAUUUAGCUCUCAAUUCAGCUAAAAUAGAACCAUCAUCUGACAUGGCUAAAUUGGUAUUCAAAGCUCGCAAUGUAAAUAAAAGUUUCCUACUUAAAGCUUCAGCAACUAUAUUUGCCUUACCUAGGUGAUAAUCAAUCACUAACUCAUAAUCUUUAAGCAAUUCCAACCAUCUUCUUUGCCUCAAAUUCAAAUCUUUUUGAGUCAUCAAGUAUUUCAAGCUUUUAUGAUCGGUAAAUAUCCGGCACCUUUCACCAUACAAAUAAUGUCUCCAAAUCUUCAAUGCAAAUACAAUAGCAGCUAGCUCUAAAUCAUGUGUCGGAUAAUUUUUUUCAUAUGGCAUCAAUUGUCUAGAGGCAUAAGCAAUUACCUUUCCUUCCUGCAUGAGUACACAACCGAGCCCAUUCAAGGAUGCAUCAUUGUAAAUCACAAAUUCUUUACUCGGUUCCGGCUGUACUAAGAUAGGAGCUUCCGUCAACAAUGCCUUUAACUUGUCAAAACUUUGUUGGCACUUUUCAGUCCAUUCAAACUUAACAUCCUUCCGUAGCAGUCUCGUCAACGGAGUAGCUAUCAUGGAAAAUCCCUCUACAAAUCGUCUAUAAUAUCCGGCAAGACCAAGAAAACUUCUAACUUCUGAUACAUUUCUAGGAGGCUUCCAAUCAACAAUGGCUGAAAUCUUGCUCGUAUCAACCUUAAUACCUUCACCUGAGACAAUAUGUCCAAGAAAACCAACUUCUCGUAACCAGAACUCACUUUUGCUGAACUUGGCAUACAACUGAUUAUCUCUCAGAAUUUGUAAAACUGUUCUCAAAUGCUCUGCAUGCUCAGUCUCAUCAUGAGAAUAAAUCAAAAUAUCAUCAAUGAACACAACUACAAACUUAUCUAAGUACGAUCUGAAAAUUCGGUUCAUUAAGUCCAUGAAAAUGGCAGGAGCAUUAGUCAAGCCAAAUGGCAUCAUAAGGAAUUCAUAAUGACCAUACCUAGUUCGGAAAGCAGUCUUCAGGACAUCUGACUCUUUAACUCGCAACUGAUAGUAUCCAGAUCUCAAAUCUAUCUUGGAAAACACAGUAGCUCCCUUCAAUUGAUCAAACAAAUCAUCAAUUCUAGGCAAUGGAUACUUGUUCUUUACUGUUACCUUGUUAAGUUGCCGAUAAUUUAUGCACAAUCUCAUCGAUCCGUCUUUCUUUUUCACAAAUAGCACUGGUGCACCCCAUGGUGAACUACUGGGUCUUACCAAGCCUUUAUCUAUUAAUUCCUGCAACUGAGCUUUCAAUUCUUUCAAUUCCAACGGAGCCAUUCUAUAAGGAGCAAUAGAAAUGGGUGUGGUACCUGGAAUCAACUCAAUACCAAACUCAAGUUCUCUAAUAGGAGGCAAACCUGGUAGUUCUUCCGGAAACACAUCGGGAAACUCACAUACUACAGGCACUGAUUCAAUUUUCAAUUCUGGAUCUUUAGUGUUCAACACAAAAGCAAGAUAAGCUUCAUACCCUUUUCUCAAACAUUUCUGAGCAGACAUAACAGAAAUUAUGGGAAAUAAACUAUCUGACUCUUCUGAAUUAACCCGAAGAAUUUCACCAUUUUCACACUUUAACUCAAUGAAUUUCUUUCCACAAUUCAGUAUCACAUCAUGUGUAGUCAACCAAUCCAUACCAAGAAUCACAUCAUACUCAUCAAAUGGCAAUAGCAUGAGAUCAGCCGGAAAACAGUAGCCUCUAAUCAUUAAAGGACAAUUUCUACAUACUUUAUCUACUAAUACAUGCUUGCCUAAUGGAUUCGAUACUUUAAUCACAAAUUCUGUAGAUUCUAUAGGCAUACUUAUACUAGGCAUCAAUUUCAUACAAACAUAAGAAUGAGUCGAACCCGGAUCAAUCAAAGCAAUGACAUUAAUAUCAUGUAGAGAAAAUGUACCCGUAAUCACAUCGGGGGAGGAUGCCUCUUCGCGUGCACGAAUAGCAUAAGUCCUUGCAGGGGCUCUAACAUCUGGUCUCACUGCCGAAUCUCUAGAGGUACCUCUGUUACUUGCUCCUACUCCCGGUUGCCUCGGUGAUCUGCCUCUAGUAGGAGCAUUUCCGGAUCUAGCACUCUGUGUUACUUCUUGACUAACCACUUCUGGACAUUCUCGUACAAAAUGAUCUGGAGAACCACAUUUAUAGCAAACAUUUUCGCCUGCCCGACAAGGACCAUAAUGAAGUCUACCACACCGUGGACACCCUGAUCUACCCUGUCUAACAUUACCUACACUCGUAGUCGAGGUGGUCUGAGCCUUCGGAUCCUUAAAUCUGCUACCUCUAUUCUGACUAGAUUGCCCUGCCGAAAAGCUAGAUCUGGUACAAAACUCUUUGGGCCUCUUGGAUGUAGCCUGAAAUGAUCUGCUCAUUUGUCUCUUCUUUGUAUCUUGUGUCUCUGUCUCAACUUUGCCUUUUCUUUUUAACAGCUCCUCUGCCUUACAGGCUCUCUCAACUAAAAUAACGAACUCUUUUAUUUCUAGGACACCCACUGACAGUCGGAUAUCAUCAUUUAAACCAUCCUCAAACCUUUUACACAUGAUAGCCUCUGUAGACACACAUUCUCGAGCAUAUUUACUAAGCCUGACAAAUUCGCGCUCAUAAUCGGUCACUGUCAUAGUACCUUGUUUCAAUUCCAGGAAUUCCUUUCUCUUCUGGUCAAUAAACCUCUUACUGAUGUUCUUUUUAUGAAAUUCCUCCUGAAAGAAAUCCCAAGUGACCCUCUCCUUUGGUACAACUGAUACAAGUGUCUUCCACCAGUAGUAGGCUGAGUCUCUAAGAAGUGAUACUACACAUUUCAUACAUUCCUUGGGUGUACAAGAUAAUUCGUUAAAGACUCUGAUAGUAUUUUCUAACCAAAAUUCUGCUCUUUCUGCAUCAUCAUCUUUUGUUGCUCGGAACUCUUCUGCCCCUUGUUUCCUGAUUCUAUCAACUGGUGGCUUUUCUCUUACCACUGUACCUGUGACUGAGGAAGCUUGAGCUACAUGGGUAGCCUGAGAAUCAUGAGGGGGUGGAGGUCUAACUGCCGGAUUCGUACGAAUGAACUCGGCAAACAAAUCAUUCAAAGCUCGGAAGAGAGCUUCUCGAGUCACUCCUUUCUGAUCAACUAUUACUGGCCUAUUCUCAGAUGGCGCUGCCCCUUCUAUUGGAGCAGUCGCAUUACUUUCUACAUCAUCAUCACCAGCUCGUCCGGGAUCCAUUACUAUAAAACAAAAUAUUUAAAAAUCGUCAAGAGUCGUCACACUAUCAAAAUACAAGUAUGGCAUGUAUAGCUAGACUUUUUCUCACACUAACUAUUCCGAGAACCGACUAAACCUACUCUGAUACCAAUAAAUGUAACACCCCCACACUCGAAACCAUCACCGGAGUCAAGCUUGAGGUAUUACUAAACUUAUCUUACCUUUUAAACAACUCUAAACCACUUAUUUUAAUUUUUAGAAUAAACUGUUUUUCUGCAUCAUGGUUGCUUAAAAAUCUAUUUCUCGAGUUUCAAAACUCAAAAUUUAGAUCCGUAAAUUUUUCCUGAAACUAGACUCAUAUAUCUAUCUACUAAUUAUUUUCUAGAAUUUUUUACUUGGCCAAUUAGUACAGUUUAUUAGUUAAAGUUUCCCCUGUUUCAAAACUCGACUGCACUGACCUCUUCUUACUACGAACCAUGUUUCUUCCUGUAAAAAAUUCAUAUGACUAAGUUGUUUAUUUCUCUCAAAACUAGAUUCAACAAGGAUUAUAACCAUAUAAAUUACACUUUCUAAUUAGUUUUUUACAAUUUAUGGUGAAUUUCCAAAGUUGAAAUAGGGGAUCCAGAAAUCGCUCUGAUCCUGUUUCACUAAAACUCCGAUAUCUCAUAAAAUAUAAUACCUUUACCUGUUUUGCUUAUUCCAUAAGAAAAUAUACAUAAUAAGAUUUAAUUUAAUAUAUUAUUCAUCUUCAAACUAUGUUUCUACAAUUUUUAGUGAUUUUUUUAAAGUUACGUCAUUUCUGUUACUUGAAUCUGCUUUUAGGUUACUUUCACAUUUUUCAUAAUUUUCAUGUGAUAAUCAUCAUUCAAUCAUACAUAUUAAUAAACAUGUAUAUCAUCGGCUAUUUUAUUAGCUAAUCACUAGCAAGUAUUUACACAUCAUUCAUUGUUCAUAUUAUACCAAAAGUAGCUAAGUUUCUAUACAUGCCAUACCCAAAACAAAACGUCUAGUUAUACCGAGUUAUUUCUUUGAUAGUGUGAUCGGCCUCCGACGUUUCCUUCGAUCCCCGAGUGACUAGAUAAGUACUGUAAGAAGAAAAAAAUAAAGAGAUUAAGCACUAGGCUUAGUAAGCUUACAAGCAAAUAAAUCACAACAUUCAACAUAAUGGAUAAUUAUGCAUAAUAUCAUCUAACAUCAUAAAUUUAUUUACUUCUCAAUUUCUAUCUUCUUCUUUAUUCCCUUACCUUCUUUCUUACCUGACCUUUCCUUUUUCAUAAGUAUAAUCUACUUUUCCUUUGCUGUUAAUUCACUGUAAUUUAACUCGUAUCCUGACCCGUUGAACCACUCGGAAUACUAAGGAUACCAGGGUCGUUCCUGUCUAUCAAUAUCCUGCCAAUGCCAUAUCUUUGGCAUGGACUUACAUGAAUUAUUCCUGUCUCCAAUGCCAUAUAUAAUAUGGACUUACAUGGCUCAAUCCUGUCUCCAAAGCCAUAUUUCUAAUAUGGACUUACAUGGCUCAUUUCUGUUCUGUCCUGUCAACCCUAAUAUCCUAACAUUCCUAGGGUUCAACCGGGGCUUUCUAACACUUUUCCUCUGUCACUUCACCUUAAAUUCGACUUUAAAUAUUUUCAUAACAUAAUAUAUAAAUGCUGGAAAUUGAAAAUAAUAAUGUAAAAUAAAAGAAUAUUGCAUUUAUUUACUGUAACUUACCUUGAUACAAAAUGUGACUAAACUUUACAAUUUAGUCAUUUACUUUUUCUUUUCCCCGAUCUACUCCCGAAUUUCGUUCUUCUUGAUCUAUAAUAGCAAAUUUAAAUUAUUUAAUAUUCACAUUUAUUAAAACAGUCCUUGACCCAACUUUUGCAUAAUUAUAUUUUUACCCUUAAACUUUCACAUAUUUGCACUUUUGCCCCAAGGCUCGUAAAUUAAACUUCAUCCUAUUUUCUUAUGUUUUAUGACAUGCUGAUCAUUUUUCCCUUCUAUGGCAAUAUCAAAAUCACACUCUAACAUAUACUUAUGACUAUUGGUAUUUUUUUCCAAUUUAAGCCAUUUUACUCGUUUUCACUUAAAACCGAGUAGCAUAAGUUGUUUAACAUAAUUUAAAACCUCAUAUUCUAUCAUAAAACACCAAAAUACACAAAUUUCAGCCAUGGGUAUUUUUCCAAAUAUGAACCCUAGGUUGAAUUAUUGCUAGAAUAAGCUUAAUCAAGUUACCGGGACUCCAAAAACGUAAAGAUCAUUAAAAACGGGGCUUGGAAUCACUUACUAUGAAGCUUGAAAGUUGAAGAAACCCCAGCUAUGGAGGAGAGCAAAAAUCGCCAGAAACUAAUUGAGAAGAUAACCAUUUUUGUGUUAUUUUUCCCUUUUUAAUUCAUUUAAUAUCCAAAUGACCAAAUUACCCCUCCUUACUAAACUUUCAAAUAUUCCUUCCAUGUCUUAAUUUUUGACCAUGAACUUAAAAUUGGUCAAAUUUUUAUUUAAACCCUCCUAAGUAAUUUCAUACUAAAAACUUCUAGAAUGCAAGUUUUGCAAAUUAUUCGAUUUAGUCCCUAACCUCAACUUAAGCACUUUAUGCAUAGAAUUUCAUCAUGAAAUUUUCACACAAUCAUGCAAUCAUACCAUGAACCUCAAAAUAAUAAUAAAAUAAAUUUUUCUACCUCGUAUUUGUGGUUUCGUAACUACUAUUCCGUUUAGGCCCUAUUUCGGGAUGUUACAACUAAUUCACAUUCAAAGUUAAAUUUCCUUCGUCAAGUCCCUUGGGGCAUCAUUUUGCUGAAUGCUAACCAAUGUUGACUAUUCUAGAUAUAUACCACAUCAAAUCCCAUGCAUACAUAUAAGAAUGUUAAAUUAGAUUAACUGCAGAUGACAGAUAGAUAAAGCAGAUUUUGAGAAAUUAAUUACAGAUUGAAUUCAUGUUAGAGCUGGUUAGGUUUUUGGCCUCUUAAAUUACAUUGGGUUUAGUUUUUUCAUUUAAAUACGAUAACACAUGCAGAUAACAUGUGCCAAUGUUCUGCAUAUAUUUUGUGUACUAUAUUCUGGUUAAAAUUAAAAAUAGUUUCAGAUUCUGAAUAUCUAAUACAUUACAGAUCAUGCCCCAGCUUUUGGGUUUAAUUCCAUUUUGAAGAUUUUUAUUUACUCUCGUGGUGUUGUUUUUUUUCUGUGUUCUAAUUUUUAAUUGAUUUCUUUUGUAUACAAUCAUAUGUGCAACAUGUUAGCUCAGUAUACAAAGAAAUGUCUUGAUACGGGGUUACGCGCGGACCAAGAUCGAGUUGCCAAGUCACGAGAAACUCCUACGAAAACCCUAAACAAUUAGAUCUGAAACGAAACAGAAAAUUAAAAGAUUAGAUUUUUAAAUUUUCAGAUCUGAAAUAAAAUCCCCAAAACAGUAAAGAAUCAAAUAGAGAAUAGAAAUAAGUGUUAAUAAGGAAUCUUGAAACCCUAGAAGAGAUUGCGAUUCUGCCCAAUUGAACACCCAGAUAGUUUUCCCCAAAUUUUGGCAAUCUAAUUUCUCCCAAAAAGAGUAUGGAUGAAUCGGCAAGGACCCUAGAAAUUGGGGAUUUUUGGGCUAAUUCCUUAAUAUAGAAAAAGGCUGAAAACACAAUAAGAACAGAAAAUAAAUUAGAUAAAGAUUCGGCACAAGCAGAAAUAAAGAAAGAAUUGACAAUAAGAAAUUAAAAGAUAAGUCCUAAGAAGCCUUGAAAUCCCGAAAGAUCUCACAACUCCUUUCAAACGGCUCUAAUCUCCCCUCCAAAGAAUAUCAAUGGCAAGAAGAAGGUUGAAGAUGGCUCCCACAAUCAAAAAGAUUGUUAAAACAACUUCUAAAGAAAACUCAAGAGAAAAUCCUUGAAGAACUCAAAGAGAAUUUUCACUCAAAUCAAAUCUGAAAUUUUCAAUGUAAUUGUAAUGUAAUGUAGGGUGGCUGGCCAAGCCAUAUAAAUAGGCCUUUCAAAUGUUUUCCUAAUUUAAUUAGAACACUAAAACUAAAACUAAAAAAAAAAAACUCCUAAUUAUUUUAAUAUGGAAAUUCGGCCAAGGGUCUUUUAUUUGGAACUCUUGGACUGAAUAUAAAAAUUUAAACUAAGUAAAAUAAAUAAAUAAAUAAAUAAAAAUAAAACUUUACAACUUGGGCCACUUUGACAAUUUGGCCUGAUUUUCAACUAAGUAUGGGUGGAUUUCUUGAUUGGGCUUGGAAUCUUCUUAUUGGGCCUUGCCCUCAAGAAUUUGGGCUUGUGAUCCAUCUCCUACCGAAAUUGAAUCGUUGAUGCUCGUAAUGGAGAUCCAAUGCGCUUUGGCUGCAAGAUUUGGUGUCUUGGACCAAGAUUCCCAAUAUUUGAAAUCUUGAUUUUCCCUUUCUUUUGUGUACGCAUCUAAGGCCUUACUAACAAACUCCUGGAUGGUCCCAUUUAGUUUGGAACGCAUUUGUCGGGCCUUUGAUCUCGUAUCAUUCCCCCCUUCCUCAAAAAGAUUUGACCUCGAAUCUGAAAAAUCAAAUGGGGACAAGUCAGCCACAUUAAAAGUAGAACUUACAUUGUACUCACCAGGUAGAUCAAUUUUAUAGGCAUUAUCGUUGAUCCUCUCGAGUACUUGGAAAGGCCCAUCGCCCCUUGGGUCCAACUUGGUCUUUCUUCUUGCAGGAAAUCGUUCUUUCCUCAUAUGGACCCAAACCCAAUCUCCAUGUUCUAGGACAACCCGUUUGCGCCCCUUGUUUGCUUUGUUGGUGUUGGCAUCAUAUGUUUUGGCUAUUCGUUGCCUAGCCUGCUCAUGUAAGGAUUUCACCAACUCAGCUUUCUGUUCACCAUCUAAAUUAACAAUGUGUUCAAGUGGUAAUGGCGCAAGAUCAAGUACUGUUAGUGGGUUAAAACCAUAAACAAGUUCAAAUGGAGAAUAACCAGUUGUAGAAUGAAUAGAUCUAUUAUAUACAAAUUCAACAAACGGUAGGCAUUCUUCCCAAUUUCUAAUGUUCUUUCCCACAACAGAUCGUAAUAAAGUCCCUAAGAUCCGAUUAACUACUUCGGUUUGGCCAUCAGUUUGGGGGUGACAUGUAGUGGAAUAAAGUAAUUUAGUACCAAGCUUACCCCACAAUACCUUCCAAAAGUGGCUAAGAAAUUUGACAUCUCUGUCAGAAACAAUUGUUUUAGGGAUGCCAUGAAGUCUUACCACUUCUUUAAAGAAUAAGUCUGCUACAUGCGUAGCAUCAUCUGUUUUGUGACAAGAAAUAAAAUGUGCUAUCUUUGAGAACCUGUCAACAACAACAAAUAUACUAUCUCUUCCUUUCUUAUUUCGAGGCAAACCUAGAAUAAAGUCCAUGGAUAAAUCUACCCAAGGUGAAGUAGGAAUCGGUAAAGGAGUGUAAAGGCCAUGAGGCAUUACCUUAGAUUUUGCUUGUUUGCAUGUAAUGCACUUGGAACAUACCUUUUCGACAUCCUUUUUCAUAUGUGGCCAAUGGAAGUGUUCUUGCAAGAUAUCCAGUGUUUUGGCCACUCCAAAAUGUCCCAUUAAACCUCCACUAUGGGCCUCAUAGAUCAAUAAGUCUCUCAUGGAACACUUUGGUAUGCAUAAUCUGUUCAUACGAAAAAGAAAGCCAUCUACAAGAUAAAAUUUAUCGAAAGCAGUAUGUCCACAAUUCUUAUAGAUAUGGCCGAAAUCAGCAUCAUCAUCAUAUAGUUCCUUAAUAUGUUCGAACCCUAAGACUUUAGCAUUCAAUGUAGUUAUUAAAGUAUAUCGUCUAGACAAAGCAUCUGCAAUUACAUUAUCUUUACCUGUUUUAUAUUGUAUCACAUAAGGGAAUGUUUCAAUGAAUUCUACCCAUCGAACAUGUCUUUUACUCAACUUACCUUGUCCCUUUAACCAUUUAAGAGAUUCGUGAUCUGUGUGUAUGACAAACUCAUUAGGCAGCAAAUAAUGUUGCCAUACUUGAAGUGCACGAACUAAUGCUAAUAGUUCUUUGUCAUAAGUCGAGUAGUUUAACUGUGCACCAUUCAAUUUCUCACUAAAAUAAGCAAUAGGUUGCUUAUCUUGCAUUAAAACAGCGCCAAUUCUAAUUCCUGAAGCAUCACACUCAAGUUCAAAAGUUUUAGCAAAAUCAGGUAAUUUAAGCAAAGGAGCAGAACAUAACUUAGCUUUUAGAGUUUGAAAGGCCUUUUCUUGGGUUUCACCCCAUUUGAAACCCACUGAUUUCUUUAUAACCUCUGUCAAUGGGGCAGCAAUAGUAGAGAAAUCUUUCACAAAUCGUCUAUAAAAACUAGCGAAACCAUGGAAAGAUUUCACCUCAGUUAUCGAUUUAGGAGUCGGCCACUCCUUAAUUGCCUUGACUUUGUCCUCGUCGACAUGAAUACCUUGAGCACUAACUAUGAAACCUAAGAAUAUUAGUUUAUCACAACAGAAUGUGCAUUUAUCAAGGUUGGCAAAUAAUUUUUCAGUUCGCAGAAUAUCCAAAACGGUUCUAACAUGGAAAACAUGAUCAUCUAACGACUUGGAGUAAAUUAAAAUAUCAUCAAAGUAAACUACUACAAAUUUACCCAACUGAAGCCUUAAAACAUGAUUCAUUAAUCUCAUAAAUGUACUAGGUGCAUUAGUAAGGCCGAAAGGCAUAACUAACCAUUCAUACAAUCCAAAUUUUGUUUUAAAAGCUGUUUUCCAUUCAUCCCAUUCCCUCAUUCGAAUUUGAUGAUAACCGCUUUUUAAAUCAAUUUUUGUAAAUAUUAUUGAACCAUGUAAUUCAUCAAGCAUAUCAUCAAGUCUAGGGAUUGGGUGUCGAUACUUUACCGUUAUCUUGUUGAUUGGGCGACAAUCAACACACAUACGAAACGUACCAUCUUUCUUUGGCACCAAUAAGACAGGAACAGCACAAGGACUUAGGCUCUCACGAAUGUACCCUUUGUCUAGUAAGUCCUCAACUUGCCUUUGCAAUUCCUUUGUCUCCUCAGGAUUGCAUCUAUAGGCUGGUCUAUUUGGGAUUGAAGCUCUGGGUAUUAAGUCAAUUUGAUGUUCUAUCCCUCGUAAAGGUGGUAAACCUUUAGGGGCCUCACUAAAAACAUCCUCAUAAUCCUGCAAAAGAGAUUGAAACACACUAGGCAAAUUUUCGUUAAUGUUAGAUAAAGAUAAAUAAUUUUGCUUAAACCUCACAAGGAUACAAGGCUGUUUAUUAAGUAGGGCUCUCUUCACAUCUUUUUUUGUUGCCAAAAGAUUUUUUUCGCUCAUUUUACCACUAGAGGAUUCACUCACCUUUGGGCUUUUUAAAUUUUGACUUUUUCCACUACUAUUAGCCUCUUUUCUCUCUGUCUUUUGUACUUGCUCUUUCUCCCUUACCCCAUCACAAAAUUUUAUCAUCCUCAAUUGAUCUUUAUAUACGUCAGUAGGAUUUAAAGGAGCAAAAGUGAAUUUCUUACCUUUAAAUACAAGGGAGUAUCGAUUAAGUUUACCUUGGUGUGUAACAUCGCGAUCAAAUUGCCAAGGUCGUCCAAGGAGCAAAUGUGCCGCAUGCAUUGGGACUACGUCACACCAUACUUCAUCUUCAUAAUUGCCGAGUUUAAAAGUGACCAAGGACUAUUUCGUAACUUUAACUUCGGAACAUUCAUUAAGCCACUGAAGGUGAUAUGGCUUAGGGUGUUUGGUGCAAGGUAACUUUAAAGAAUCAACCAAAUAGCUACUCACCACAUUUGAGCAACUACCACUAUCAAUAAUGAGUGAACAUAAGUUACCUUUAAUAAAACACCGAGAAUGGAAAAUAUUGGCCCUUUGGCUAUCAUCAUCUUUCAUCUGAAUGUUAAGGGUUCGACGAACUACAAGGCAUUGAAAAUCAGUAAAGUCUCCUUCUCUGGGUGGUUCAACCAACUCUUCGCCAUUAUCACUGUCAUCAACAAGUUCUGGCAUAUCUGGAUCUGUUUUAUCAGAGUCGGAAGUAUACUCACCAUUAUCUUUUAGAAGAAGGAAUCUCGUGUUAGGGCAUUCCCUACUAUAAUGACCACGCCCUUUGCACUUAAAACAUUCAACCUCACGAGUCCUCUUCACACUCGAAUCACCUAAAUUGGGCUGCUUAGAAGGUGUUUGCGUUUUAGCAGGAGCCCCUUUUUUCCAAUCUGACUGCUUGUUACUCAAAGAAGACUUAUUAGUAACAAAAGGUGGUUUUGAACUCUUAAAAUCAGAAUUGGAAUUGUUACCUCGGUAAUAUUGUGAAGUAGAGAAUGACCCAAACCUUUGUUCCUUUAAUUGUUGCUCGAUCUCAGUGGCUUUGUGAACUGCUUCUUCUAAAUCAAUAUAAGUUUGUAGCCUCAAUGUAUUAGCUAUCGGCCUGUUCAAACCAUCAAUGAAUCGAACCAUAGUUGUUUCUUCAUCCUCUUCUAUGUUAGCUCUCUGAAUGAGCAUCUCCAUCUCUUUAAAAUAUUCAUCCACCGUCCUACUACCUUGGAUAAGUCUUCUCAGCUUUGUUUUAAUUUCUCUAUAGUAGUGAGGUGGAAUAAACCUUUUACGCAUAAUCUGUUUCAACUCAUCCCAUGUCGAAAUCUCACCUUCAUAAUUCCGAUGGCGGUUUACCCCAAGUUGAGUCCACCAACUUAAUGCAUAAUCAGAAAAUUCCAGUGUUGCUAACGCUACCUUUUCAUCAUCUGGACAUUUAUAAUACCGAAACAUAAGUUCAAUCUUAGAUUCCCAUUCACAAUAAGCGUCAGGAUCAUUCUUACCACGAAAUUGGGGAAUUGUGAAUUUCGGUUUUGCCAAAGAAGGUUGCCCACGAUCAUGAAAAUCAUUAUCCAUUCUAGUGACACGUCGAGGGCCGCGCCUUUGGGGUUGGUUAUCCCUAUCUUCUUUGAUUGGAUGAGGUUCUUGAUUCAAUCGCACCUCAUUGAUGGUAGCAGUCAAAGCUCAAAGAGCAGCAGCCUGUUCAUCCAACUGUUGUUGGAAUUUUUUAAAUAUGUCACCAUUAUUAUCACCUGUAGACAUUUUUUUUAAAAAUCUGCAAAACACUCAACACUCAAAAAUAAAAGUUAGCAAACCUCACCGUUAAUCACUAAAAAAGAAAAUUCAAAUUCUCAAUGAGGUAGAAUUCAAUCUUGUGAGUUCUUUAUCAAAGUUUAUAUCAACCAAUUAGAGAGUGGAUGAACCGAUCUACCAAAGAAUCCUAAUGUGCACUAGGAUGCCAAAAACUGACGAGACACCAAUUGAUUCGUGUUGCACCGAGGAAGAAUUGGGCACACGUUUAAAUCCUACUAACACAAAAAACAAGAAGGUGUUAGAUAUUGUAAAGGGAGAAUAAAAAGCAAACAAAUGAAAACCUACAGCUAAGAAUCAAUAAAAAUUGUUGAAAACAGAAAACCCGAAAAACUGCGGAGUAACUUGACAACUUCGUUCGAGGUGUUCCCGAUGUCAAAAAAUCACAAAAUUAAAUCUGGAAUGUCUUCAAAUAUUGAAUUUUUGAUCUGGAAAAUUUGGGCACCAAAUUCAACCCGCUGAAUAUUUUUUUAAUUUUUUAUCGGAUUUCGUCUUUUUUAAAUUUUUUGACUUUUUAGACUUAUUUUUUUGCGGGAAAUAUUUUUGUAUAUUCAAUAACAGUGCCAAAAAUAUGUAUGUAAAAUUUCAGAUCAAUCAGAAAACGUUUACCCACUCAAAUGAAUUUUUUUUCGAAAAUUUUUCUGGGUAAAACUGUUGUUUGUAAUUUAAAAAAUAGAGAUCAGUUUAGAAAUCAACCAAGAACACCCAAAACGCCCAAAAUCUGAUACCAAAUGAUACGGGGUUGCGCGCGGACCAAGAUCGAGUUGCCAAGUCACGAGAAACUCCUACGAAAACCCUAAACAAUUAGAUCUGAAACGAAACAGAAAAUUAAAAGAUUAGAUUUUUAAAUUUUCAGAUCUGAAAUAAAAUCCCCAAAACAGUAAAGAAUCAAAUAGAGAAUAGAAAUAAGUGUUAAUAAGGAAUCUUGAAACCCUAGAAGAGAUUGCGAUUCUGCCCAAUUGAACACCCAGAUAGUUUUCCCCAAAUUUCGGCAAUCUAAUUUCUCCCAAAAAGAGUAUGGAUGAAUCGGCAAGAACCCUAAAAAUUGGGGAUUUUUGGGCUAAUUCCUUAAGAUAGAAAAAGGCUGAAAACACAAUAAGAACAGAAAAUAAAUUAGAUAAAGAUUCGGCACAAGCAGAAAUAAAGAAAGAAUUGACAAUAAGAAAUUAAAAGAUAAGUCCUAAGAAGCCUUGAAAUCCCGAAAGAUCUCACAACUCCCUUCAAACGGCUCUAAUCUCCCCUCCAAAGAAUAUCAAUGGCAAGAAGAAGGUUGAAGAUGGCUCCCACAAUCAAAAAGAUUGUUAAAACAACUUCUAAAGAAAACUCAAGAGAAAAUCCUUGAAGAACUCAAAGAGAAUUUUCACUCAAAUCAAAUCUGAAAUUUUCAAUGUAAUUGUAAUGUAAUGUAGGGUGGCUGGCCAAGCCAUAUAAAUAGGCCUUUCAAAUGUUUUCCUAAUUUAAUUAGAACACUAAAACUAAAACUAAAAAAAAAACUCCUAAUUAUUUUAAUAUGGAAAUUCGGCCAAGGGUCUUUUAUUUGGGACUCUUGGACUGAAUAUAAAAAUUUAAACUAAGUAAAAUAAAUAAAUAAAUAAAUAAAAAUAAAACUUUACAACUUGGGCCAUUUUGACAAUUUGGCCUGAUUUUCAACUAAGUAUGGGUGGAUUUCUUGAUUGGGCUUGGAAUCUUCUUAUUGGGCCUUGCCCUCAAGAAUUUGGGCUUGUGAUCCAUCUCCUACCGAAAUUGAAUCGUUGAUGCUCGUAAUGGAGAUCCAAUGCACUUUGGCUGCAAGAUUUGGUGUCUUGGACCAAGAUUCCCAAUAUUUGAAAUCUUGAUUUUCCCUUUCUUUUGUGUACGCAUCUAAGGCCUUACUAACAAACUCCUGGAUGGUCCCAUUUAGUUUGGAACGCAUUUGUCGGGCCUUUGAUCUCGUAUCAUGUCUACUUCACAAUAGGGGAGUGCUUGCGAUUAUAACAGUUUCUUUGCCUGUAGUGCUUCUCAUACUAAUGGCCCUUUCGCGUUGCUUUCUAAGAAGGCAAAUAAGAGGUACGUCUCAUAUUUUUUCUGUACUAGCUUUUUUUUAUUCAAAUUUUAAUCGUUGCCAUAGGAUAUAAUUUGCAAUUGAAUUGACAGCAGGAAGAGCAAGAAAAAGCAAAAAUAUCUUUAGCUUUACCUCAUUCAAAGACUCUUUAGGUGAAAAAGAGAUUGAUGAGAGCAGAAGAAAUGAGAUUUACCCUACUUUGAUUUGGGCACCAUAGCCGCUGCCACUAAUAAUUUCUCUUCUGAUAAUAAACUUAGGCAAGGUGGCUUUGGCCCUGUCUACAAGGUAGUUUUUCUCUAAAAAAAACAUGUGGAAGUGCAAUAAAACUCCUUAUCUGUACUUGAAGGAAAAUUCUUUGUAUUUGCAGGGUGUGCUCUUAAAUGGAAAAGAAAUAGCAGUGAAAAGACUAUCAAAUUCCUCAAGUCAGGGACUACAAGAGUUUAAGAAUGAAAUUGUGCUAAUUGCAAAACUUCAGCAUAGGAAUCUCGUAAGGAUACUAGGAUGUUGCGUUAAGGGUGAAGAGAAGAUGUUAAUUUAUGAAUUUUUACCAAAUAAAAGCUUAGACUUUAUCAUUUUCGGUAUGUCUUCUUUCAAAUUGUUGAUUACUUAUACUAACAACUUUUGUUUUAAGUUAUGCAUGAUUCCUUUUAAAAUUUGACUUUUGAUUUUAGAUGACUCAAAAAGAUCACUAUUGGAUUGGAAAAAACGUUUGGAAAUUAUCUGUGGGAUUGCCCGAGAAAUGUUGUAUCUCCACCAUGAUUCCAGGUUAAGAGUUAUUCAUAGGGAUUUGAAAGCGAGCAAUGUAUUACUAAAUGUUGCAAUGAAUCCGAAAAUUUCUGAUUUCGGCAUGGCUAGAAUAUUUGGAGGAGACCAAAUGGAAGGGGAUACCAGACGUGAAAUUGAAACAUAGUAAGAAUUCGGUAUGCAAAGUUUGGAGAAAACUGCUACAGGUUUCAAACUUAUUCUUACUAUUUCAUUUUUGUUGUAUGAUUUUAGUGGUUACAUGUCGCCUGAAUAUGCAAUGCAUGGACACUUUUCAAUGAAAUCCGAUGUAUAUAUUAACAAUGUUUGAAUUUUGAAUGUCUCGAGGAAAAGGAUGGGGGAUUUGAUUAAGUUGUUGAUAUUAACACACCAUGAUGACAACAGAUUAAUUUGCAUGUAUGAGAAUGACAAUUCGUGAAACUAAGUUCUGAAUAGUGAUUGUACAAAAAGAGUAUAAAACUUUUUUGGGUAUUACUGGAUUUUUCCUAGUUUAAUUAAAGAUCUGAUUAUAUAUUUGUUCAAGCCAUUGAUGAAUAAGUAAAAAGUGUGAUUUCACAAGUAGAUGAAAGAAAAACUAGAAGAAAAUAGGGAUGGGUUCCUUACUUUAUCAUAGGAGACUCGUACAAGCCACGAAAUAAUUCCCACUUCUUAGCAACUUGAGUAGCGACAGGCAUCAGCUUUGGCUGCCCGCCUAAAGUCCCACAGCUGCAUUUCAUCAAACAGAUGAUAGACUAUUAGAAGGAAGCAAACAAUGCCCCAAAACGCACAGAACCAAAGCAACAAAUUCAUGCAUACCUUAGAAAGAACCUUGUAAUGGGUUCAGCUAAAAGGAAAACAAAAACAAAAUUCCAAAUUUAUCAAACCGCACUUUUACAAGGAAAGUGGCCUUAAAUAUAUAGCAACUGUAGAUUAAAUGAAAACAGCCAAGUAUUCAAGUAAUUGAAAACUAUUGCCAAGUGUUCAAGUAAUUGAAAACUAUUGCCAGACCCUAAAUAUAUAUAAACUGUAAAUUAAAGAAAAUCAACCUCAUUUAUCAUUUAACACAAAACCGAAUCAACCAUACAUACCCAUGAAGAUUGAGACAAAUCUCAACAAGUCGAAACCGAUUCACCAGCUUCUACCACUGCAGGGUUAAAGAUUUCAGGGAAUCAGUAAGGAAGGCUUUCAAAGAAGGUACCGUGAAAUGCCAGUAGUUGGAGCAGGUGGUGGACAACAGAUGUACCAAUGGGUAGAUCAGGUGGUGAACGGCAGAUGCACCAGUGCCUGGAGGAGUUUGUGGACGGCAGAUGCAAUUGGUUUUCUUUGCCCAACAAAGUUUGGAGUAAAUGCUUUUUUGUGGGUAAGAAUGAAAAUAAG
Molecule: long non-coding RNA, 19579 nt
Filed under: Gossypium barbadense (sea-island cotton)
Lineage: Eukaryota; Viridiplantae; Streptophyta; Magnoliopsida; Malvales; Malvaceae
Description: long non-coding RNA (GBAR_LNC007831)
Source: RNAcentral